UUGCUAUGAGUUCCUUCGAAUCACUACCAAGGACCUGUUUGGGACAUUUACAGCAGCCUUGGAUGAAUACUGUCCUCGACUGAUAAAGCUGUAUAGAGCCAGGAAAGGAGCCUUCGGACAAGGGAUGGAAAACCUAUUGGAGUCUCUUGAUGAACAGACAUCUGACAGCAACGAAUGAGAAUGUGUCUGGAAGGUCUGCCCUUAUUUGUCCGUGACAGUGCAGAGAAGCUCUUCCUGAAAUGCCUGGACACUGAUCCGGAAGAAAAGCAGACUGCUGGUGUCAAGAUGGGAGUCCUCACUGUUCUCGUAGAUGAUGGUGGACCUACCCCGUCUCAAAUGGUCAACAGUAUUGCUGUUGUUUUGGAAGAGACAAUUGUACUCUCGGAUCUACCAGACAUCCCAACUGCAUUUGUCUACCUUUUUGGUCUACUCUAUGCCCUGAACAUUGAGUUUCCAAAAGAACACAAGUACACUUUUGAGACUGUUCAGCACAUCUUCAUGGGACUUUCCACCAGUUGCUCACAGCGGAUCAGGAGUUUGAAAACAAAGCUCUUAAUCUAAGUGAGCAUUGGCAAAUUCAAAAACGGAUUCACAAGAUGUCCCCAUUUCAUUUUCCUGCCUUCACCGCUGUUUGUGACUUGAACAUUCAGUUCCCAAAACCAAACUAACCCAACUAACUAACUAAACCAACUAACUAACCCAAAUAACCCAAGUUCUUUACCUUUACAGAUAAAAUGUUAACUAGUG
This is a long non-coding RNA of Gymnodraco acuticeps, 747 nucleotides long. RefSeq lists it as uncharacterized. The record is from RefSeq and is a predicted model, not a curated record. The transcript is spliced from 3 exons. NCBI's taxonomy places the organism in Eukaryota, Metazoa, Chordata, Actinopteri, Perciformes, Bathydraconidae.